Molecule: long non-coding RNA, 1069 nt
Organism: Sceloporus undulatus (fence lizard)
Lineage: Eukaryota; Metazoa; Chordata; Lepidosauria; Squamata; Phrynosomatidae
Exons: 3
Source: RefSeq, a predicted model, not a curated record
UUACAGCAAAGUGGCGGACGGGAGGGGGGCAAGGAAGGGAAGGAGAUAGCAGCUGGCAAGGCUGUGUGCCCACGGGGAGGCGAAGGCACUAGAGGGCCAGUGCAACUGUUUGGCAUCAGAGAGGAAGCUGGUGCUGCGCGUGCAUUUUCGAGUGCUGGCACGGUGCCCCCCGGCCCAUCCACAUUGUUUGGCACCAGCCGGUAUUGGGAGGCAUGGAAAGGGAAUGACAAAAAGAGAGAAACAGAAAGACAGAAAGGAAGAUGAGAGAUGUGUCGGUGUGCUUUGAUGACAGCGGGCAUCUGAGACGGGACCUGGGCAGAGCUUGCGGGCGCUUGGGAUGAGACAGGGAAUGACCAAAGAAUGGGCUUUGGAGAGAGAAGAGGAUAUGUUGAUGAUUCGCACUGGGAAAGACGGGAAGUGGGCAAGGAAGUUGGGUAAAAUCCUCUACAUGGGGAUUGCCGUGGUUGGAAGAGGGUAGCUGCUUGACUGAGCCGCCAAGAUGUGGAUAUGGGCACCUUGACCCAUUGUGCAUUAAACGUCUCCUCUUUUCUCACACCCACUCCUGCUCCUGUCGCUUUUCAAACUGGCACACCUGUGCCCAUCUCAAGUUGGCACCGAGUCAAAGCUGGUUGGGGCUGGCAUCACCCGCACUGGCACGUGAACAGAGUUGCUGAUCUUGGCACUGCGGCAAACAGUGGGAAGAAGAGGAGAAUGAUAAGUUGCUGCCAUUACAGCUGCCUGGGUACAGCCUUGUAGUAGCAGCGGAUCUAUUGGUGGGCGUGGAAGAACGCGGGCAUAGAAAACUGUGGCACCUACGUGACCAUGAGAAAUAUUGAAUUGUGGAUGUCUGCGAGUCAAGACCAGAAGAUAGAAGGAUCUGGAAUCUUCCAUCGGUCUCCUUUGUGAACGUUUGAGGGUUCUUUUGAAGGCUGGCAGCUGAAAAGUUCAGAAAAAUCGAAAGGAAGAAGGGGGGAAUAGAGGGAAUUCCGGUGCCAACGUUGUGAAAGUCGGAAUGACGCAUGAUCCAGGACUUUAUCCUCGUCAGAGACUAAUUAAACUCUCAACCCAA